Molecule: long non-coding RNA, 3553 nt
Organism: Equus caballus (horse)
Lineage: Eukaryota; Metazoa; Chordata; Mammalia; Perissodactyla; Equidae
Source: Ensembl
AAGUAUGUAGUUCAAUGAGUUGUAGCAAAGGUACACCCAUGUGUCAAUCAGGAUAGAGAAGGUUUCCUUCAACCUGGAAGUUUCAUUUGCUCCUUUGCACUCAACCCCUGUCUCCUGGCCCUGGGCGACCACUGAUCUGCUCUCCGUUGCUGUAAAAAUAUUUUGUCUUUUGUAGAUUCACGUGAAUGAAAUCAUGCUGCAUGUUCUCUUUUGUUUACAGUCUGUUUUGAUGAGUUUAAUGGUUUUAGACUCAUUGUGUUGUUGUCUGUAUCAGAAGUUUGUUACUUUUGAUUGCCAAGUAGCAUUCUAUUGUAUGAAUAUACCACAAUAUGUCAUUCUCCUGUUGUUUUCAGUUUUUGCCUACUAUGAAUAUGUAUUAGUUAUUUGUUGCUGCAUAACAUUACCACAGCACUUAGUGGUUUAAAUAGGAAAUGUUUGUUCUAUCACAGUUUCUGUGGUCGGGAGUUGGGGUCUGUCUUCGCUGGGUGCUUCUGCCUCCAGGUCUCUCAUGGAGCUGCAGUCAAGGUGUUGGCCGCAUGCUCUUUCCCAUGCUCAUGGCUUUUGGCAGGAUCCUGUUCCUUCGGACUGUUGGACUGAGAGCCUCAGUUCCUCCCUGGCUGUUUGACCAGAGGCCUCCCUCAAUUGCUUGUCACGUGGGCCUCUCCAUAGGGAAGCUCCUGACGGGCCCACUGGCUUCAUCAGAGCGAGCAAGGAAGAGAGCAAGAGAGAGCAAACAAUAUGAAAACCAGUCUCUUUGUAGCCAGUCUCAGAAAUGACAUCUCAUCCCUUUCACCGUGUUCUCUUUUUUAGAGGAAAGUGAUCAUUUGAGGAAGUGUGAAAUGUUAAAGGGCAAGUAUAUUGGAAGUAUCACGAAGGAGAGAUACUUAUUCACGGUCUGGGACCGGCAAUCAACAUGUGCCUGAGGAGGAAUCAGGCGAAGGAUGCAGUCAAGACCAACACAGUCCAUGGAGAAAAUACGCAAAUGACCCCGAACAAAGACGUGAACUGCUUUAUUUGUCAGAAACCUCGUAUCCUGUGUGUUAUGGCAGAUUUAGGUGAUUUUCAAGGUAAAUACGGAACAUAAGCAAUUUUCUUCUAAUGGGCUCACGUUAGUAAUCACUCUCCCCUUCCCCACCUCCAAUCCGCAUCCGUCUUUACGUCCUUCUGCCAUGCCCUACCCCGCUGUAUCUUUAUUAAAGAGGCGGGUAAGUAUCCAAAGGGCAUUUCAGAACAGGAAAAAUAAACACCAGAGUGCUCGCAUACUGAGAAAUCUUUUGUGCCUUAUAAAAAACGAGCCCUCCUGGGCUCUUUAAAGUCUUUAGAGGCUGGGCAUCCUGGGAACCUACCUGUCCUCCCACCUGCUUUCUCUCUGUGGUCUCUUCCUCAAGCCCACGUAACAGCUCUUCUCCCCUUCAAGUCUCUCAUUCGAGUGAUGCCACUUUGUCCCUUAGAUAACGCUACUGUACCCACCCCUCCAUCCCUCCAGCAAUGCCUCAGCAUCUCUCUGGAUGCUUGUUGCUUGUCUCCAAAGGAUGUGACCUCAUGCCAUGAAUGAAGAUGAAUGCUGGUCGUCUCACUCCAGUUUCAGAUGCCCCCCCUCCCCCCGAGUCAGCAUGUGUCCCCAUGGGGCAAAGCAUUGCAUUUCUGUAAAGGUAUUUAUUGGCCUUAGUGGCACAGGUUUAACCUGGUCCUCUAGGAACUCUAGGCUCACCUUCCUCACCAAUGGACCAAGAUAUGGCCUUGCCUGGACACGUCACAGGGGAAGCCACACGAGCUAGCAAUGGUUGUUCUCUUUGCCACCCUUUCUGAUUGAUGCCAGCUCCCGUAUGUCAACUUCAGUUAGAUCGUUUUGAUUAUAAGUCCUUUAAUAGAAUUGAUGGUCCUGUGUGUGUGUGUGUCUUCCCCACACCAAGGCCCCAACAGGCCCGCCAGAGUCCACUGCGAUUCUGGCUGACUCCUUUGGCCACUCCAUCGGAAAUUACUGCUGUCUCUCCCGUGGCUGAGGCAGGGCUUUCUCUCCCUGCUGAAUGCCUUACCCACUCGCUCCAUAAACUCCAUCUUUUCUGAGGCUUCCUGGAACUAAAGUCCUGGCUUCAUGACACCUUUUGGGGAUGACGGUCUGAGUGGUUCCCCCAGUCCAGAGCACCAGCCAUCUCACUGCCCUUCUCCACCUCAGUUUCUGGGUCCCAUCUACCCCCCACCCGCCUUGAACCUAUAGGCAGCGUCCCUUCUCAGGACCUAAUGAGCAGAAAAAGGAGGCCCCUGUCACCCCAGCAUGGAACAGGAGAGCUGGUCACGACUAGGAGUUUCCCCUUUUGAUGAUAGGGGAUCUACACUGCCUGGAGGAGGGAUGUGACAUCACCAGUGUUAGUCACCACCAUUUGGGGCCUGGAAUGGUAAUUAAGGGUCCGUAUCACGCUGUGUUUCCUGUAACCUUUGUUCCAUUCCUGACAUUUAUAACAGGCUUUCUCUCUUCAACUCAGAUAAGAACCUAUGACAUGUGCAUUUGUAAGGUAAAGUUCUUUUUUGAAAAAGAGCUUAUGAUGCCGUCAAAUAAGAACUCAAUCCACAGGAAAUUAAUUUUAAGGACUCAAAAGAGAGAGGCUUUGGAGAGAGAGAGUUUCUCUCUUUUGAGUCCUUAAAAUUGUUAAUUGUAGGAAAAUAUCACAAUGUUUUCUACCUGUGUUUAAAGUUGGAAGUUAGAGAUUAGUGACCCCAACUAGAAGUUUAGGAUCAUAUUGUCACUGAGUUCGGAGCACAAAAGAGUGUCUUCCUAUAAGGAUGGAGCGUCAGACAAGGCCAGAGGGACCGCAGGUCAGAGCUUCUAUUUGCACAGUGACGUCUGACCCAAACUAGAGAAAAUAGCUAGGGGAGCUGACUUCAUCUAAGACUCCAUCUUAUAUUUGCAUCACACAGCCUUUUGGAAGGAAAAACAAACAAACAAAUAAACAAACUGCAUUUUCCUCAUGUGCAUUGCUGCUCCUUGCCUACACAAAUCUCCACCUUGGAAAAUACUUCAGAUACCAGGGAGGCCUGUGGACACAUAGACAAUGGCAAAGUAGGAGGAGAGGUGUGUUUUAUUGCUGCUAAAAAUAAGAGCAAGCUGCACCUCAAGAUGACUAAGAACCAUGGAGUCUAAUCAUCUCAAUGUUUUCUAAUAAAAGCUAACGACUUCCUUCUCUUUAAUUGCUUAUUUAUUUGUGGUCUUCAUUUGUUACUGAAGGUUGGAUGUAAAAAUGUCAUGGGGCUUGGCUGGCAGAAUGCACCACAUGAAAUAAGACAAUUUGAAUGGAAAAACCUUUCAAAUUAAGACCUGAGAGAAAAAUGCAUCUAAAGCAGAGGGAGAAACAACUGGCAGCCUUUGACCCCGAAGAAUCACAUAAGUUAAGACUUCAGCUCAUUGCUGAGUGAUGUGAACACAGUUAUAAAAGCUAAACUCUUUACAUUUUUUGUGGGGGGAGAUGUUACUGCUUUUAAUAAAAUUCUAAAUAAUCUUUGUUCGUCUUAUUCCCGCUUGAGAAGCUGAACGUGCUGUUCAACAGAAUCAAAGUAG